This 1410-nucleotide ribosomal RNA is filed under the name Salmonella enterica. RNAcentral describes it as "bacterial SSU rRNA". It matches the Rfam family "Bacterial small subunit ribosomal RNA". The record is from RNAcentral. Lineage: Bacteria; Pseudomonadati; Pseudomonadota; Gammaproteobacteria; Enterobacterales; Enterobacteriaceae.
GAGUAAUGUCUGGGAAACUGCCUGAUGGAGGGGGAUAACUACUGGAAACGGUGGCUAAUACCGCAUAAUGUCGCAAGACCAAAGAGGGGGACCUUCGGGCCUCUUGCCAUCAGAUGUGCCCAGAUGGGAUUAGCUUGUUGGUGAGGUAACGGCUCACCAAGGCGACGAUCCCUAGCUGGUCUGAGAGGAUGACCAGCCACACUGGAACUGAGACACGGUCCAGACUCCUACGGGAGGCAGCAGUGGGGAAUAUUGCACAAUGGGCGCAAGCCUGAUGCAGCCAUGCCGCGUGUAUGAAGAAGGCCUUCGGGUUGUAAAGUACUUUCAGCGGGGAGGAAGGUGUUGCGGUUAAUAACCGCAGCAAUUGACGUUACCCGCAGAAGAAGCACCGGCUAACUCCGUGCCAGCAGCCGCGGUAAUACGGAGGGUGCAAGCGUUAAUCGGAAUUACUGGGCGUAAAGCGCACGCAGGCGGUCUGUCAAGUCGGAUGUGAAAUCCCCGGGCUCAACCUGGGAACUGCAUUCGAAACUGGCAGGCUUGAGUCUUGUAGAGGGGGGUAGAAUUCCAGGUGUAGCGGUGAAAUGCGUAGAGAUCUGGAGGAAUACCGGUGGCGAAGGCGGCCCCCUGGACAAAGACUGACGCUCAGGUGCGAAAGCGUGGGGAGCAAACAGGAUUAGAUACCCUGGUAGUCCACGCCGUAAACGAUGUCUACUUGGAGGUUGUGCCCUUGAGGCGUGGCUUCCGGAGCUAACGCGUUAAGUAGACCGCCUGGGGAGUACGGCCGCAAGGUUAAAACUCAAAUGAAUUGACGGGGGCCCGCACAAGCGGUGGAGCAUGUGGUUUAAUUCGAUGCAACGCGAAGAACCUUACCUGGUCUUGACAUCCACAGAACUUUCCAGAGAUGGAUUGGUGCCUUCGGGAACUGUGAGACAGGUGCUGCAUGGCUGUCGUCAGCUCGUGUUGUGAAAUGUUGGGUUAAGUCCCGCAACGAGCGCAACCCUUAUCCUUUGUUGCCAGCGGUCCGGCCGGGAACUCAAAGGAGACUGCCAGUGAUAAACUGGAGGAAGGUGGGGAUGACGUCAAGUCAUCAUGGCCCUUACGACCAGGGCUACACACGUGCUACAAUGGCGCAUACAAAGAGAAGCGACCUCGCGAGAGCAAGCGGACCUCAUAAAGUGCGUCGUAGUCCGGAUUGGAGUCUGCAACUCGACUCCAUGAAGUCGGAAUCGCUAGUAAUCGUGGAUCAGAAUGCCACGGUGAAUACGUUCCCGGGCCUUGUACACACCGCCCGUCACACCAUGGGAGUGGGUUGCAAAAGAAGUAGGUAGCUUAACCUUCGGGAGGGCGCUUACCACUUUGUGAUUCAUGACUGGGGUGAAGUCGUAACAAGGUAACCGUAGGGGAACCUGC